GUCAUUGUGGAUAGGAAAAGAAAGGAAGUAGGUCCCUACCUCCUGCUUCAUUUUCUCGACUAAUCAAAAUAUAUUUGAGAUAAAUUAUUAUUAUUAAUAUUUUUUAUUCUCGAUUUUUACCUAUCAUUCUAUUUGAAUGGAUUAAAAUUGAAGCUCUAUCGAUCUGAAUCCAUUUGCGUCCCUAAUUGUGAAGGAAAGGGAAGAGAAGAGUUGGUUUGCUC
Molecule: long non-coding RNA, 221 nt
Filed under: Ananas comosus (pineapple)
Lineage: Eukaryota; Viridiplantae; Streptophyta; Magnoliopsida; Poales; Bromeliaceae
Description: long non-coding RNA (ACOM_LNC011370)
Source: RNAcentral